GAAAUGCGAUAAGUAAUGUGAAUUGCAGAAUUCAGUGAAUCAUCGAAUCUUUGAACGCACAUUGCGCCCGCCAGCACUCUGGCGGGCAUGCCUGUCCGAGCGUCAUUUCAACCCUCGAGCCCCCCUCCCCCCCGCGGGGGGGUGUGGCCCGGCGUUGGGGGACGGCCACAGCGCGCCGCCCCCGAAAUGCAGUGGCGAUCCCGCCGCGUCCUCCCCUGCGCAGUAGCUCCCCAGAGAACCUCGCACCGGCGGCGCGGCGGCGGUCACGCCGUGAAACGACACACAUCUCAAGAGUUGACCUCGGAUCAGGUAGGGAUACCCGCUGAACUUAA
This 332-nucleotide unclassified non-coding RNA is filed under the name uncultured Hirsutella. RNAcentral's name for it is "sequence contains ITS1". The stretch from base 1 to 105 matches the Rfam family "5.8S ribosomal RNA", at positions 50 to 154 of the family's 154-position model. The record is from RNAcentral. Lineage: Eukaryota; Fungi; Ascomycota; Sordariomycetes; Hypocreales; Ophiocordycipitaceae.